Molecule: transfer RNA, 79 nt
Filed under: Ophiocordyceps sinensis
Lineage: Eukaryota; Fungi; Ascomycota; Sordariomycetes; Hypocreales; Ophiocordycipitaceae
Also listed under: 1 other name
Rfam family: tRNA
About the family: Transfer RNA (tRNA) molecules are approximately 80 nucleotides in length. Their secondary structure includes four short double-helical elements and three loops (D, anti-codon, and T loops).
Source: Rfam by way of RNAcentral
GGUUCCAUGGUCUAACGGUUAUGACUGCGGAUUCUGAAGAUGUAUUCCGCCAGCGAGGGUUCGACUCCCCCUGGAACCU